Molecule: long non-coding RNA, 1615 nt
Filed under: Monodelphis domestica (gray short-tailed opossum)
Lineage: Eukaryota; Metazoa; Chordata; Mammalia; Didelphimorphia; Didelphidae
Description: lncRNA (ENSMODG00000046125.1)
Rfam family: U2 spliceosomal RNA (bases 654-815)
Source: RNAcentral
CUCCAGAGAAAGAAAUGUUGGUGUUGGAUGGAUGUGAAUCAAAGCAUAUGAUCUUUCUCGGUGUAUAUGACUUUAUUUUGGAGUUUUGCUUAUGUAUAGGCAUGCUCUUACAACAAUGACCUCUUAAUAGGGAAGCGUUUUGUAUGAUAAUAAAAACAAAAUUUUGAAAUUUAAAUUAUAACUUUAUUUUGGAUUUCCACAAGGAAAUAAGCAAAGAAGCCUCAUCUUACCAAUGUUGUCAAAAUGCAAUUAAAAACUUUUAACAAACUUGAAUUGUGGCAUCUUACUUUAUUUUGGAUUAUUGAGAAAUGUGUCUAAUGUCAGUAAGUUAAGACUUCUAGAACUUCUGAUAGCAUCGAUCACCACCCUGGAAAAGGGAAAAAAAGGAAAAGCUACCAACGAGCAUAAUCGUUGCAGAAAUCAACUAAUAACUCUAGAAAAACAGAGGAAUUCAAUCGCUCUAAUAACUACGCCUGCUUUGCAUGAAAAUAGUUAACAACUUUAUUGCCUAAAAACUCACCUCGCAACACCGAUGCCACCCCAACAUUCAGUACUGCUAUUUAUACAAAUAGUUGUCUCCCAAAGGGAGGUGCACCGUUCCCGGAAGUACUGCAAUACCAGGUCGAUGCGUGGAGUGGACGGAGCAAGCUCCUAUUCCAUCUCCCUGUUCCAAAAAUCCAUUUAAUAUAUUGUCCUCGGAUAGAGGACAAUAUAUUAAAUGGAUUUUUGGAACAGGGAGAUGGAAUAGGAGCUUGCUCCGUCCACUCCACGCAUCGACCUGGUAUUGCAGUACUUCCGGGAACGGUGCAUCUCCCUCACGGGAGAACAUUUUGUUGAAAAAACAGAAAAAUACUUAUACCUUUUUUACGGGUCUUUAUAAGCUUUUUUUCUUAAUGUGUUAUUUACAUUACCCAUGGGUUCUUUCAGUGCGUUUUUUCGCUUUACUAUGAUGUUAUGUUUUUUGUAAGAAAUAAUUAUAAAGCUUGUUAAACUCAUCCGUCUAUUUCAUCAACUUUAAUUUUCUUUUUCGGGAAGAUGUUAUAAUUGCCAUCUCUAAAUUAUUUUCUCUUUAUUAUUCAUUGUGGUUCGAAUCCCUUUCGCCCCAUGCAGCUUUUUUUUCUUUUAAUUUCUUUUUCCCAAGAGGCAGGUUCUCCGUGGUAAAAAAAAAUGUAAAUAGCCAGGUGUGUUUAUUUGCCGAGUUUCAGGCUCAGACCUUCCUUCAAAGCCUUGGGGUGCUUCAGACACUGAGACAUACACAUGCACACGUCCGUGUCUAAAAGAAGAAAGCUGAUUUUCCACAUGUAACUUGACAGUCACAGUCUUUGUGGAUUGGAGUGGUUGGAGUGAAGAUUUAGCAUGAAUGGAUGAUUGGUAUUAAGAGCAGAAGAAACUUGUUCCCCAGCCUCAAACCCACUGCCCCUCCCAGUCUCCCCUUUCUGCCUAGCUAAUUCCAUGACAAGUACACCCUGGGAGAAAGAUGUAAAAUCCCACCCUGAGACCCUAAAGCACUGGAUCCUUGAACAAAGAUAAAGACAACGGGUGAACAACAUCCCUGCUGCUCUUCCCUCACCAUAGGAAGAAUAAAGUAUUUGGGACUCAAAACUGCUGAAAGAAU